Chenopodium quinoa (quinoa) is the source of this 4907-nucleotide RNA transcript. It is a transcript of the gene named serine/arginine-rich splicing factor 4-like, with no coding region annotated. The record is from RefSeq and is a predicted model, not a curated record. Lineage: Eukaryota; Viridiplantae; Streptophyta; Magnoliopsida; Caryophyllales; Amaranthaceae. The transcript is spliced from 3 exons.
CCCCCCCCCCCCCCCAAAUUACAAUUUGAAGAGAGAGAAAAUACUUGUGUGCUUCUUCUUCGGGAACCCAAAAUCUCACAAUAUUGUACCAAUCAUCACCUGCAAAUAACUAUUACAAGAUGUCUUUGCAUCUUGCUAAUCUGUCUCCUCGAAUGCGCAAGGAUGAGUUGGAACGUAUUUUCAAGAGCUUUGGCCGAUGCACUGUGCAACUGAAAGAUGGAUAUGGGUUUGCAGUGUAUGACUUCCGUGGGGAUGCUGAGAAGGCUUUAAGGACUCUGAAGGGCAGGAAGAUUUGUGGCGAGUCAAUAUAUCUUUCGUGGUCAAACAAACAGCCUAAGCCAUUGCAAAGAGCUGCCAGAUCUCAUGAUGUGCGAUAUGGAAUACAUUCUGACCAAGGUGAUGAUUUUGUUGGUCGUAGAGGUUACUUAAUGAGUGACAAAAAACAACCUGAUAAAGGUCGAGAAAGGCACAAGUCUCCUGAGAUACAUGAUGAUAGGCACAGGUUUAAUCUUAAUGAUGCAGGACGUAUACAUUAUGAUCAAAGGGAAGUAGUUUUGGAAGAAGGUGGUCGUGUUGUAAUUAAACCCAAUCAGAUAGAUGAUGGAAGGUGGGGAGAGCAAGUUGAUAAUCUUCGAAAUGAUACUGGUUAUGAUGCACAGAGGGGAUUUGAUCGUUAUGACCCUGGUCGUGUUGAUGAAAAAGGUGAAGAAUAUGAUAAUCAUGGUUUGGAUCAUUUUGCUGGUUCACAUUCUGUAAGGACAUCACCGGACAAGAACAGGAGGGUACAUCCUGAUGGAAAAAGAGGCCAGCAAACUUGUUUUAAAUGUGGAGCUGUUGGUCACAAGAUGCGUGAUUGUUCAUCAAAAGAGGCUUUGCAAGAGAAGAACACGUACCACCCAUAUCAUAGGCAUGAUGUAAAAGCUAAGAAUGAAGUUGAAAGGGCACAGAUUAGAUCUGGGGGACGGUUGCAGUCUUGUUGUCGGAAUUCGAAAUCUGCAAGACAACCUGACAUUCACGGGAAAAUAUCUCAUUCAGAAAAGGAUGGAGUUAAACACUCUCCAGUAGAAAAUGAAUCUGGGUGGGAUAAGAGAAAGAACAAUAAUAGAGAUAGACAAAGGGAGAGUGAUGAUCAAAUUGUAGAGUCGCAUGAUGAUAAGAAAAAGAGGGUGUCUGCUUUGUCUCAUCUUCAUUCUGAUUGUGCAUCUCCUGAGUUGGGCAGAUAUUCAAGACCGUCAAAGCCUUUGGGGGGUUUGAGCUCUCAUUUUAAAAAUGGAUCACCUAGAUCACAUUCCCUUUCUGCUAGAUCCAGGUCCUAUUCAAGAUCGCGCAGAUCCAGGUCCCAUUCAAGAUCGCACAGAUCCAGGUCCAAUUCAAGAUCACGAAGAUCCAGGUCUAAUUCAAAACGGUGCAGAUCCAGGUCCAAUAUAAGAUUGCAUAGAUCCAGGUCUAGAAGUAUUAAGAUCAAGUCUAGGUCUAGGUCAAGGUCAAGAUCACCAUCCUCUUCCCUGUCUAUCUCUAUUGGUCGGUCUUUACUCUCCUCUCCAAACAAGGCAGAGGGUAAUUUGAAUGCAUAUUCUGAAGGUGGACCUAGUCCUCUGUCCAGGGACGCGCAUACCGAAGUGAGGCAACAUGACGAACCUGAAAUAUGUGAGGAAAACCUGUCCAUUGCUAACAAAGCAGAGAGAAGUUUGAGUAGAUGUAUGGAUAAUCUUACAAGUUAUCAAAUCAUGGAUGUUCCAAUAGAGAGGAGGGAAUCCGAACAUAACUCAGAUAUUAUGACUUCUACAAAGCAUACAGAGGAAAGCUUGAAUGGUUUUGGGGAAGAUGAUCAGAUUCCACAAUAUCAGGACAUUCAGGAGGCAAUGCUUGAGGAGAAUCAGUGGUUAGAACCUCAGCAGAAUUUUGAACCUCCACAAGCAGAUGCGCCUCUAGGAAGCAAAUGCAUUUCUACUUCUGAAAAGAUGAUAGAUGGCAUGAAGCUGGAUAAAGUACUUACUGAUACUGAUAGUGACUCCACUGUCCCUCAUGUAUUAUGUGACCUCGAGGCUCCUAGCUCAUCUUUGCUUGAGAAGGGUGACGGUGAAUAUGCUGCUGUAAACAUCUCAGCUGCAGAACUAAAAGAAACCGAGGAACUUGAAAAUGCCAAUGUAGAAACGACUAAAUCUUUGGAACCAAUUAAUGAUACCUCAGAUCUGGAAGCUUCGCCUAAAUCGCAUGUUGGCAGCCGUUUAAGCAUAUCUGCAGAGGAAUUGUCCAGGGUUAUGAAAUGCUAUGAUUUGAAACAUCCAGAAGAGAAUGAACAGCACCUUGAUGUUGGAGAUUACUUUGGUUCUUCCCGACUAUGGCCUUGGGAGAUAAUUUAUUACCGGAGACUGAAAAAGGGUCUUAUCUCAAUGGAAAACUAUGCUAGGCGAGUAGCACAAAAUGAAGCAUUCCACAUAACUGAUAAAUAUAUUAGAAGUAGUAGUGGUUGGGAGUAAUUGCUUGAAGAACAUUGUUAGAAAGAAUUACCUUUUUGAUGCUUCUUGUGCGUUACUUGAAUGUAAGUGGUGGUGAUCCUUUUCACUUUCCUUCUGAAAGUGGUUGCUGAAUAUUACAAACGAAAAUUUGGUCAAAUGAGUUUUGCACUUACUAUAAACGAAAAUUCUAGGUCAGUGCCCUCUCUUUCUCCCCUCCCUUACCCUCCCCCCCCUGUCUUUCUCUGACUUACUUGCUUGUCACCAUUCAAUAUUCUUCCUAAAGAGUGCCUCUUCUCUCCGGUCUCGUGCCAACAACUUGUCAUGGAUGAAGGAACUUACUGACCUGGGAUUACUACCUUUGAAUCUAUCAUUGCUUAUAACAUCGUUCAUCAAAAUUAAAUAUGCUGGAAAUUAUAGGAGAUAGUUUAUGAUUUACUUUUUCCCCUUCUCUGCUGCUUAUGUGACGUUUAUGUCAUGAGGUUGUUUGAUGUGCAGGACUGCUUUAAAUCACUAAGAAUAGGUGGAUUAUGAUGUCAAGAUUGGUUAUGUAUUACCAAGUGUUAUUAUCUUAUGUAUUGUAGGCAGGUUAUUGCAGAAACUUACCAUGAAAGAGAAAUUGAUAAUGCAAUAUAGGGUCUAUGAUUUUGUGUAGCUCGUUGUCUCUUCUUGUUUAGUAUCCAUCAUGCAUAUUUGAAUAUAAAAUCUGUCUUUAUUGCGUUCAUCUUGUUGAACCAGCUUGAGUGAUUACUUAGGAUUUUGGAACCAGGAUACUUAAUCUGAUUGUUUUUGGCAGAACUGUAAAUAGUUUCAUUUUCUGCUGUCUGCUAUCUUCAGUUGCAGUAAUAUCAGCACAUAAUUCUUUUUUGAGUUAGACAAGAAUGCCUGAUAAGCCUCUUUCUAGCUGCAUUAAUAUUUCUAUGGACAUUUUAAUGAUAUACGAAGUAUUUGAGUUGAGCUAUACAUUGUGGCUAUGCCAUGAAGAAAAAGAGUUGAGUGGGAUCAUUUUGACAUUGUGAGCCUUAUGUUUUAUUUUCCUGUAUCCAUGUGAGAGGUGAUAAGGAUAUUCAUUCUAGGGCUAUAAUUGUAUCUGGUAUCUGUAUUCAAACGAUCGAGAAUCACUUGAAUAAUUCUCUGUUCAAUGAUGGUCAUUAUGAAAAUUUAUUUGAACUGGCUACAUUACAAGUAAAUGAAGACACAUGUAGGCAAAAGUUCGGAAACAAAUUGUGAUUUUUUGUGAGAACUGGUGUUUAUUGUCCUGGCAGUCAUUGCUUGUCUAAUAUAUUUGCAGACAGGUUGAGUGGAGAGGGUAAUUGAUUAGAAUGGUUGAGUGGAGAGGGUAAUUGAUUAGAAUGGUUGAGUGGAGAGGGGGAAUUGAGUAGAAUGAAAUUUUUUGUUUGGGGGGGGGGGUGUGGGGAGGUGGGGGGAACUUAUAUCUAUUAUUUCCGUCCACUGGAACCUGCUUUGCUUCGACUUUCGAGCUUGGUUUUGAAAUUACUUGCAAGCUUUUCUAUGAUAUUUGAUGGACCAAAACAAUGUUGCAACCCGUAUGCAGAUUAACUCAAGUAAGAUGUGGUGUUAUGAAAUGAAAUCAACUGCCCGACUCAGGUGCAAUAGAUAACUGAGUAUUGCUGACUUGUAGCCCCAGUUUCCUUUUACUUUUCUGUCAAUUUGAAGGACUACUAGUUGGUGUAAUUAGGAGUAGGAAUGGUACAUCAAGUUUCUCCUAUUGAUUCAAUGGCCACUAGCCAGUCGUGCUAAUUCGGCCAAGUCAUUUCCAUCCUUUAGAGUUGUGUAUUCACCUGUAGUCUCAGGGGUCUGAUGAUGGUCCGCUAGCAAGUCAUGAGUUCGGUCUGGUAGAUAUGACCAGAUAGUCAAAACUUUUGAUGCCCUAGCUCCUGCUCAAAACCCAAAAGGUCUAGUUUUGGUCUAGUUUCCGAUGCCUUGCUGCUAUGCCUGCUAGCCGGUACCCAUUUCCUGAUAUGGGGUGGCUUAUUUACGUUGCAGCUUGCUCGUAGCGUUGUCUUAAGUUGGCUAACUGCACUUGCCAUGUUUCAAAAGGGUCACAGUUGCAAAUUGGCGCCACCAAGUUAAGUAGUUUUUUGGUUUCAAAAGUUGACACCCUCAGGUUUCAGGAGAUCUUUAGGCUUCUGACUGUUUUAAGAGAUUAGAUUCCUGGAAAACUGAGCUGACUGUUACUCGUAGUACUUUACAGGUGUACGUACCUUUGUAAAUAUAAUGUGGGACACUGUAUUUAAUUCAUAGACCAAAGUGGUAGAUUUGAAUUAAGCCUAACCUCUCUAUCUGACUCUCAGCUUGUCUAACAUAUUGUACUUUACGUGGAAUUUUUGGGACCAAUAUGACUAAUACACGUAUAAUCUCUUCCUCUGUUGCUAAAUAUUUGUAGGUCUGAUGUGUUAUCUAAGAAUUAAUGGUUCAUUUAUUCGGUUG